Molecule: long non-coding RNA, 5608 nt
Organism: Lagopus muta (rock ptarmigan)
Lineage: Eukaryota; Metazoa; Chordata; Aves; Galliformes; Phasianidae
Exons: 4
Source: RefSeq, a predicted model, not a curated record
UUUAAUCAUUACUGUUAGUUUUGGUGUUUAGGCUAAGAUUUAAGAUGACAAUUUGCUAGUUUAGGUUUGGCAUUUAAGUUCAGUAUUUAAAGUUAGGGUUGAGGUUGAGAGUGAGGUAUUCAAGUUUAGGUUUAGGGAUUUUCUUGAAGUUAUUUUUAGAGUUCAGGGUUAAAGUUAGGAGUUGUGUUAGUAUUCAGAUUUAGGUUGGGGUUUUAAGUUUUGCUUAGUGUGUUCUGCUAGGGAUUAGGAUGUUGCAUUAGUUCAGGGUAUGUUUUGGGAUGAUGGUGCAUGUUACAACUUUUAGGUGUAUGGAUGAAGUUAAGAUUUAUAAUUAGGAUUAAGAAUUAAGGGUAGCCCUAGAGUUAGAGUUCAGUAUCACAGGUUUGGUUUUAUUUUUGUGUUUAAUCUUGAGGGCUUGAGUUAGUGCUUCGUUGAGAUUAGUUGGGAUAUGGCAAGACAAUCGGGGUUGUUGCUAGUCUUAAAUCUAGGGGUUAGAGUUAGGCUUAGAGAUUACAUUUAAAUAAUUAGUUUGGCUCUCAUCUGUUUCUGUCAUGGCUAAGUUAAGACUGAAUAACUUUAUUUCUGAAUUGGUAUAUAGAAAGAUCCAAAUGGGCAGUUUAGAGAUUCAUUAUUAUAAAUAAGAAAACCAGAAGUAUGCAUUUUUGAAAAUGAGAAAAUAUUUGAAAAAUAUUAUUAGGCUCUGUGAAUAUUUUUGUCUAUACUUUCUCUUCAGGACAGCUGAUCAAAAGUUGAAGCAAAAGAAGAAUAGAAGUUUUGGAAGUACCAUGUACUAAAGAGAUGAUGGUGUGAUAAAAGCACUGUCAACUCACAAAGAGUACAAUCAGAAAUGCAAGUGAUGGCAAAGACACAGAGUAUGUGAAGCUCAAUCAAGAUAUUAUCCAGACUUCAGAAAUCUACGUUAAUCAUAUGAAAUCCCUUCUGAUUUUAGAAGGAAUAGUGCCAGAUUACAGAAGAACUGAAAUUAUGGCCAACGUGAAACAUCCAGGGCUAAUGGAAUAGCAGCAGUGCUUCUCAAUUUUUUUUAUGAUAAGUGCUGAAGACAACAAGACAACUUGCAAACAUGAAGGAUCUGUUCCAAACCUUUACUGAGUGUGGACUUCAGUACGCGUCCAUCAAGUUAGGAUAAGCAGCUUUGGGAACAAAUGCCAUAUCUAAUCCCAGGAUGUGCAAACUACAAGGAACAAGCACUCAAUACAACCACAUAGGAAGUAUUUGGAUGAAACUCCAGGCAACCUAACUGAAAACGUCAGAUGAAUGCAUCAACAUUCCACAGCUAUCUUCUUCUAUGAAGAUUAAUGCCAAACGAACACUAAUGAGAUGUAUCUAAAACAAACUAGGAAGAAGAACGUAAGACAGACGGAACAGAGAAAGGCAAAUCAAAAGACAGGUUUGUGGCUUCAGAACUCUGGCUUUCUUGGUUGUCUUUCAGUCCUAAGCUCAAAAUAAAAUUCAUUGCUGGUAUACAUGUGUUUACUGGGAAAAAAAUGAGCAAAAGAUUCAUUUAUAUGGGACAGACAGGUCACACAUAGUUGAAUUCACAUGUUUCUGAGUGUUCUUUUUCCAAGAGGAAUGAAACAUUUUGAUAAAUCUUCCACAAAUCUAGAACAAAUUGUUGCCAGUUCAGUUGCUGUAAGCAAAGCUGAGGGAAAAAAAUGGGUCUCUUGAUUUGUAAGAAAUCAGUUAUAUGUUGAUUAUACAGGACAUGGAAGUUCCCCUCAAUCCAGUAAAACUGAUGUCUACAAGAAAUCGCUGGAUUCUCUACACCAGGGUAUGGCCUAAUAUAAAAUGGCUGAAAAUAGGUGGAUAGUUGUACUGGAUGAUCUCAGAGGUCUUUAUCAACUUUGGUGAUUCUACGAGAUUCUAAAAUAGAAACUGAGGUGAGAAGAUAUAAGAAAGGAAGCCGUCAUCCAAAACAGUGACACUAGUUCACUGCCUGUGAAAUCCAGCCCAUUUGUGUCACACUGGCUUUAGGUACAGAUCUUCAGCCACUUGGCUCAUUAAUACUUUCAAGAAAAGGGAACCCAGGACUUUUAUAGAAAGUAAACUUUUGUGAGGAGUAAUGGGUUAAUUUGUGGUACUGCUUUUGGUAUACACAGGGACAGUGAAGAAAUCUCCUGAACGAUAGCCAUAAAUGGUUUCAAAAGCCUAACAGGGCAAACAGAUUCCUAAUCAGAUUGCAAAGUGUACGGAACAAGAGGAGGGAGAAAUUGUAAAGGCAAAUCAGAUGAAAGCUUGAGUGGACUGAGAAGCCUGAAAGGGAGAGAGCAAUGGCUUGAAUUGCAUUUGAAAUGAAAGGGGAAGUCAUUGACGUAGAAAGAUGUGAAGAGAAGCUGGCCAUGAUGACAUCAAUUAAGCGCUUCUUUCUGUGGAGUUAGUGUCAAACAGCACAAUUUAAUGGUGUGCCUUUCUGAUGAGGAGAUAAUUUGAUGCUUGUGUUAGAUGAUAUCUGUUUGUCUAUAUUUUACUAGGCAUGGUUAAUCAUAGCUGAUUUACAAUUAGCUUUAUGAGCCCUUCUCAAGGGGUUGGGUGUUGCAUGUGCAUGUGCUUGUACCUUUCCUGACUAUUCAGGCUUGAGUGAUGCAUAUGUAGUGCAGGAUGGGAUCUAUAUGGAAUGUGAAGGAAAUGCAGCAGUAGGAAGCAUGCAGUGUGGGAAGGGACUCGACAGAAGUAACUCCUGUGAAGAAGAACAUACUAGCACUAGAGUUAUUCUAAUACUAGAACAAAAACAUAAGAAUAAAUCUAGAAUACAAACCUAUGCCUCUGUGGAUUCAGCCAUCCUUACAUCCCAGCUUGAGUAUCUUUGACAUUAACAUAACAGACAACAGCGAGCAACCAAAUUUUGUACCUCUGUGCUGCUCUUUGGAAGGAAGCUUCUGAAAGAAUCUCUGUUGAACAACAGAGAAUUUUCUGGUAAACACUGUUGUAAAUAUAUAAUUGAAUUGCUUUCAGUGGCUGCUUCAAAAGCAAUAUAUGCCUUCAACUUUGAGAAUAAAAUGUUAUUGCAAAAUAGUCUAAUAAAAUGUGUGGCUUCACUGUGAUUCUUGUAGCUUUUGUGUGUUCUACUGGGAUUAUUUUUAAAGAGUGAAACUUCAUUACAUUUAUUAGCUCUUCAGCAAAGUAACAACGGUAAUUACAAAGUCCUUCUUAAGUUAGCAUGUUAUUCUGAUUAAAUGUGGUAAACCUGCUGAGAAUAUCUGCUUCCUCAGAUUUUCUUUCUACUUUGGCAUUCUAAUAGAGACCCAGGGUAAAAUAUCCACAGCUGUGCACGGUUAAAUAUUUCAUGCUGAGUUAUGGAGAACUUCCCAGUGCGUGCAUUUUCUGAGAAUGGUUUGUGUAAUGCUUUUGUUCUGUUUGCAAACAUUACUAUUAGGCUUGUUUUAAGUCUGCUUUGGAAAUGAGCUUAAAUCUUGACAUUCUUUAUGAUUUUCCCUAGAUAGAGAAGAAGAGCUAAAAUAGUGCCUGGGGGCUAAAAUUUGAAGGGGAUAGAUUACUACAUGAGGUCCUCUUGAAAAUAUCUAAGUUUUUGGCCAUCUCAGGUAUUUCAUCCUAAUAUUUAUUGGCUUAAUCAUAUGUAAUCCUACAAUAUGUAUCCUAUGUGUCUUAUAGAAAUUAAACCAUUCACCUCAUACAAAGAUUUACAGGAUUUCACUCUAUUUUACUCAGCAGCAACAACUGAUAUCUGUCCAAGACCCAUUUUUGAGUAGCUUUAAAUAUUUUUUGUGUAUUAGCAUAUGUGAAAUUUGUAGCACUGUGAGGUUACCCCAGGGCAAUCCUGUAUUGUGUUCUAGAAGAUAUUCUCUGGCUACAGAAAUUCUGAAGCUAUUUAAACAACUAUUAUCAGAUAUGUUAUGCACUGUUUAGGUAAUUGCAUUAAUUUGAAACAGUGAUUGCAUUGGUACAUUACAUUUACACUAUCCCUUUCACUGUUACAAAGCUAUCCCACAGAACAACUGUUCCUGUAUACACUAAUUUACUAGGAGUGGUAUUCACUGCCCCUAUUAACUUAAUUGAUUUAACAUAAUCCUGUGGCUGUCUCUGCUUUUACUGCCCUGCUAAAAGUUACCUUCUGCAUGGUGUCUACAACCCAAACCCUCUGGUCAUAGAGUUGGUGAGGCAAAGGCUGAAGGCACUGCCAGUAUACAGCUGGGUUGAAAUGUGGCACAUAAUAUAAAGAAUAAUUUUGAGGAUUAGAUUUAAAGAAUCUGUCUGAAAUUCAGUAGUACAAUGAGUAACUUUUAUUUAGAACAGAGGAACAAACAACAGUUAAAUACUUUUAUAUGUUACAGGUAUUCUCCCCAGUUAUUUAUUAUAUUGAACAAUGGAUAUAAAGUAGCUAGGAGCAAAUUAAGUUUGGAAAUUAGAAGAAGGUUCAUUUGAGAUAAUCUAAUUACUUUUAUAAAGAGGCAUUAAUUAUGCAGUUCUUAUGACAAUGCUUACUAAUCCAGUAGGCCCUUUCGUAGCAAUGUUAUUUCUGAAAGAAAGAAGCAUUUCAUAACAUACAGAAAGAAGUUUUUCUGUAUUCUGUAUUUUCUGUAAAUAUUCCAUAAUAUGCUUUAUAAAAUCUUCUGAAUAUUUCUCCUGUGUGUUUUGAGAAAAGUUCCUAUCUUUCUGCCUACAUCCUCCUUGGUCAUCUCCUACACCCAGAACUCAUUCAGGAACCCUCAUUGAGGGAGGAUGAGAAGUAAAGGAACCAGCUGAGCAGUCCAGAGAGAUUCUCCAUAGUCCUCCCCCACCUUCUGAAUUCUGACAGCCACAAUCAACUCCCAGUGGAAUACACAAAAGAAAAGUGAGGCAAACUGAGAAAUAUAGAAUGACUCAGUUCUUCAGCUGCUUUUUUUCAGAAAGAAAUAGCCAGAGCUAUUAGCUAGUGCUAAUUUACAGCACUAGAGGUUAUGAUUAGGAAAGACUAAAUAUAAAAAAGAAAAAGUGAAGCUCCUAGUGCCUUACCUUGUUAUACCAUUAGGAACUCUAUUCCUGCAAGCGAGGUUUUGCAUAACAAUCUCACGUCCUAUCUGAUCUUCACUAAAGAUAAUCAGUUUAUUACAUAUCCAUAUUAAUCAAAAUCUGCCAUUUUCACACUUUCACACUUAAAAUAAUACCUAUUUCUGAAAUCAGAGAAGGUGUUAUAGAUGUUAUAAUGAAUUCCAUCAUGGAUUUCCUCUCUGAAUAAUCAUUUUGCUUGCUGUGACAAGUUGCUGUGACAUUAUACAUGACAUUUGGAUCCCAGCAAAGUAAGACAUGUAUCUGAAAAUUUGGAGUUACAAUACCCAAAUAAUAUGAAUUUCUGUAUCUGAUUAAGCAACUGCAAGAAAACCCAUAACUUUCAGCAGCUACAGUUCUGGUGCUACUUUCUAAGGCUUAUUAACAGUCUAUAUACAUUGAGUGAAUUGUAUACAUCUUUUGAUUUAAAAGUUCAAAAAUAACCAGGAAAAGACAGAUUUUGUGGAAUGAAAAAUGAAUCAGUUUGUCGCUAAAUUAGGAAGACGUUGUAAUUUGCUAAAUUAGGGAAAGAGAAGAUACAAUAAAUGUCUCAGAAUCUUUUAAAUCUAUUAAUAAGCGUUGCAGUUUUCUACUCUUUAAAAAAAAA